GACGAACGCUGGCGGCGUGCUUAACACAUGCAAGUCGAACGGAAAGGCCCUGCUUUUGUGGGGUGCUCGAGUGGCGAACGGGUGAGUAACACGUGAGUAACCUGCCCUUGACUUUGGGAUAACUUCAGGAAACUGGGGCUAAUACCGGAUAGGAGCUCCUGCUGCAUGGUGGGGGUUGGAAAGUUUCGGCGGUUGGGGAUGGACUCGCGGCUUAUCAGCUUGUUGGUGGGGUAGUGGCUUACCAAGGCUUUGACGGGUAGCCGGCCUGAGAGGGUGACCGGCCACAUUAGGACUGAGAUACGGCCCAGACUCCUACGGUAGGCAACAGUGGAGAAUAUUGCGCAAUGGGCGGAAGCCUGAUGCAGCAACGCCGCGUGCGGGAUGACGGCCUUCGGGUUGUAAACCGCUUUCGCCUGUGACGAAGCGUGAGUGACGGUAAUGGGUAAAGAAGCACCGGCUAACUACGUG
This 468-nucleotide ribosomal RNA is filed under the name uncultured bacterium. RNAcentral describes it as "partial 16S ribosomal RNA". It matches the Rfam family "Bacterial small subunit ribosomal RNA", at positions 28 to 507 of the family's 1533-position model. The record is from RNAcentral.